AUUAAAGACAAAUCACAAGAAAUUACAAAGCAUAUAUGAACCCGAUUGAUGACAAAGUGGUCAAUUAUUUUGCAAUAAUAUGCUCCAACUGUAAGUGGCGAGUGUAAGUUCACCUAUUUGGAAGCAGUACCAACCUCAAAGUAAUUUCGAAAAUAGGCAAUCAGUUUUUCUCUAGGAGGUAGAUUUUCCUUGAUGGCACUAACACUCACAAACUCAUUAGCCCAAUUGCAAAGUUUGGGAAAUUUCUCCCUUGUCAUCAACUCUACCCCCGAA
Quercus robur (English oak) is the source of this 273-nucleotide long non-coding RNA. RefSeq lists it as uncharacterized. The transcript is spliced from 2 exons. Lineage: Eukaryota; Viridiplantae; Streptophyta; Magnoliopsida; Fagales; Fagaceae. The record is from RefSeq and is a predicted model, not a curated record.